GCAAAAUGUAGUUCAAUGGUAAGAACACCAGCUUGCCAUGACUGGAUACGGGGGUUCAAUUCCCCUCAUUUGCUCCA
Molecule: transfer RNA, 77 nt
Filed under: Mycoplasmopsis bovis
Lineage: Bacteria; Bacillati; Mycoplasmatota; Mycoplasmoidales; Metamycoplasmataceae
Description: Mycoplasma bovis tRNA-Gly
Rfam family: tRNA (bases 4-71)
About the family: Transfer RNA (tRNA) molecules are approximately 80 nucleotides in length.
Source: RNAcentral